Molecule: ribosomal RNA, 491 nt
Filed under: uncultured bacterium
Lineage: Bacteria
Description: partial 16S ribosomal RNA
Rfam family: Bacterial small subunit ribosomal RNA
Source: RNAcentral
AGUGAACGCUGGCGGUAGGCCUAACACAUGCAAGUCGAACGGCAGCACAGUAAGAGCUUGCUCUUACGGGUGGCGAGUGGCGGACGGGUGAGGAAUACAUCGGAAUCUACUUUUUCGUGGGGGAUAACGUAGGGAAACUUACGCUAAUACCGCAUACGACCUACGGGUGAAAGCAGGGGAUCUUCGGACCUUGCGCGAUUGAAUGAGCCGAUGUCGGAUUAGCUAGUUGGCGGGGUAAAGGCCCACCAAGGCGACGAUCCGUAGCUGGUCUGAGAGGAUGAUCAGCCACACUGGAACUGAGACACGGUCCAGACUCCUACGGGAGGCAGCAGUGGGGAAUAUUGGACAAUGGGCGCAAGCCUGAUCCAGCCAUACCGCGUGGGUGAAGAAGGCCUGCGGGUUGUAAAGCCCUUUUGUUGGGAAAGAAAAGCAGCAGGUUAAGACCCCGCUGUUCGGACGGGACCCAAAGAAUAAGCACCGGCUAACUGCGG